AUACAGCUCUAUUCACAGACAGGGCUGAGGAUUCCUAGGAAGCAGUCUAAAACAUGACACUGCUGGGUUUUCUCCUUUGCCUGAUGUCAGCUCCUCAUGAUGUCCUGUCCCAGGUGCAGCUGCAGGAGUCGGGACCUGACCUGGUGAAGCCAUAUCAGGCUCUGUCCCUCACCUGUUCAGUCUCUGGCUACUCCAUCACCAGCGGUUAUAGUUGGAACUGGAUCCGUCAGCCUCCAGGAAAGAGCCUGGAGUGGAUGGGGUAUAUAAGUAGCAGUGGUGGCACUGGCUACAACCCAUCCCUCCAGAGCCGCAUCUCCAUCUCCAGAGACACAGGCAAGAACCAGUUCUCCCUGCAGUUGAAAUCCAUCACCGCAGAAGACACAGCCACCUAUUACUGUGCAAGAAACACAGUGCUUUGA
This is a non-coding RNA of Cavia porcellus (domestic guinea pig), 419 nucleotides long. The record is from the annotation of a RefSeq genome assembly. NCBI's taxonomy places the organism in Eukaryota, Metazoa, Chordata, Mammalia, Rodentia, Caviidae.